AAACCAGCACCUCAAGUGGUCAGGAUGAUUAUUGGGCCUAAAGCAUCCGUAGCCGGCUCUGUAAGUUUUCGGUUAAAUCUGUACGCUUAACGUACAGGCUGCCGGAAAUACUGCAGAGCUAGGGAGUGGGAGAGGUAGACGGUACUCGGGAGGAAGUGGUAAAAUGCUUUGAUCUCUCGAUGACCACCUGUGGCGAAGGCGGUCUACCAGAACACGUCCGACGGUGAGGGAUGAAAGCUGGGGGAGCAAACCGGAUUAGAAACCCGGGUAGUCC
This 274-nucleotide ribosomal RNA is filed under the name uncultured bacterium. RNAcentral describes it as "partial 16S ribosomal RNA". It matches the Rfam family "Archaeal small subunit ribosomal RNA", at positions 473 to 747 of the family's 1478-position model. The record is from RNAcentral.